This 207-nucleotide non-coding RNA is filed under the name Erwinia mallotivora. RNAcentral describes it as "GcvB RNA". It matches the Rfam family "GcvB RNA". Rfam says of the family: The gcvB gene encodes a small untranslated RNA involved in expression of the dipeptide and oligopeptide transport systems in Escherichia coli. Lineage: Bacteria; Pseudomonadati; Pseudomonadota; Gammaproteobacteria; Enterobacterales; Erwiniaceae. The record is from Rfam by way of RNAcentral.
ACUUCCAGAGCCGGAACGAAAAGCAGGUUAGAAAUUCAGGCAGUUAAGUGAGAUUUUGGCAGGCUUUUGGCUGGUGGUCGUGAUGUUGUGUUUGCAAUUGGUCUGACGAUUUUCAGACCGUGGGUGGUUCAGCUACCUUUUAUCAGUCCCGGAUUUAUCCUGUCUGUCCACAAAAUUAACAGCACCGCAGUUGCGGUGCUUUUUUUU